GAGGGAGGAAGCAGGGCAGGAGAGCCGGCAGAGGAAGACAAGGCAGGCGAGGAAGUGGUGGUGCUGCUGGACGCAUGGAUGAUACAACUUUUCUUGCAUCGCAGCCUCGCUUCUUAUCUGGAGGUGGUGAAUAUUUGGGGACACAAGACAGGUCAAGGAGAUGGAACAAGUGAACAUCAGCAGAAAUUAACAGAUGAGUCUUUAUUCUUUACGUUUUAUUCUGAAAUCCUGACGUUGUUGUUAUAAAUGUUUGUUGUUGACCUCCACGAUCCUGUCAUCUGAUUGGCCGAUGCCGCGGGUCACAAGUGGCGGCAUCAGGCAGAUUUCAGGAGGACCAGUUGCCGAUUUGUUAUUUCCAAUCCAGAUUUUUUUUAACAUGACCAGUUUGUCUGAUGCCGCCAACUUUUGAGCCGCACCCAUCGGUCAUUCAGAUGACGUAUGAGGGAAUGAAUCCGUGAGUUACAUAUUUGCCAUUGCCAGGCGGAGAAUUGAAGAUGCUGCUGCUGUGUGCUCUGGGAGAAACAGACGAGGAGGCAACUCAAGAGAUUUUCGUAGACAUGAGAAGGAGGGGAUACUGGUUACCGUGACAGAGGAGCUGUCUCAAUGUGCCGGAAGGAACGGCCACCAGCUUCCUUCACGUUCGCCGUCACCGAAAUGACAACGCUGAAGGCCGAGCCAUCCACUGCGUAGGGUGUGCGUGGUAGUAGCUACUUCGGUCAGCGGAAUAAUGGAGCAACAAGUUAGCCGUGACCAUCUGGCACUGGGAGCAAACCGCAUAUAUAGUUAAUAAUGUACUCAAGGCAGCUCCUUACACCACAACCAGGAACCUUACACCACAACCAGGAAGGAAUCAUCAAUCAUCGAUCUCCAACCGACGAAAAAUAAAAUUUUUCAGAUUCAGAAACUUCUUAAUCUUCUCUUUAGUUACUGAAGGAGGAACUUGAUUGUGAGCCGUACGUACGUUGAAUGAAAACAGUGUUGUAAUAAAGUAAGUAAGUAGUCAGGCAUGUGAAGAACGUCAGGAGGGUAAGUGGAGGUAGCGGCAAGGUCGCACUCCCCCAGUGAUAUGCCGAUAUGCCAUGUUUUUUUAAUAUAUUAUAUAAAUUGGUGCAUUUCUGAAAUUAUUCUAACUUUAGUUCAUCACCGGUGAGGUAAAAAAAAAAAAAAUCGAGGCCUAUUUAGUGUGUAAUCUCCCCUAUCCUAAACGUGGCGUAUGAGCGGCAGUGUGUGUGACCUUGCCGAUAUCUCCUGACCUGAUCUGACGUGUUCCAGACGCUCACUUGCCUACCUACAACGUACGGCUCACAAUCGCCCUUCAUUAAUAAAAUCUGAAAGAUGAGGAUUCUUUCAGUUUUGAAUGAAAGAAUCCUCAAAGCUUAUCUACUUUGUAAAUUGCAGCAAGUGUCUCUCUCUCUUCUUACCUUUAUAAUGUUUAAAAGUUUUUUUUUAAAUCUUUCAUCGGUGUAAGACUGAGCCAUUCGCUCGCCGGGUGUGGGGAGGUAAGGAGCUGCCUUCAUUACAUGGGUUUCCUCCCAGUCUGUAUGGCGGCUAGUUGGGCUGAGGCCGCCUGGCACCGAGCGUGGAGAAUCACAGGGAACAGCUGCGACAUGGCAAGAAUUUCACGACCACUGCUGGAGGAGGAGGAAAUAAACCUUAGUAUGAUGAUAAUUGAUUGCUUAAUAUUUCUACGAUGAUAAUUGAUUGCUUAAUAUUUCUACUCUACGCAUGUGUCACGUCAGCAAGGUCCCAGCUGACUCGCUCAAAUGAAUUUACACGGAUCGGAGGUGAGUACAGACAGAUUUAUUUGUCUUCUUCCAAUGUGUACGCAAUCCCAGAAAAUGAACUUGCACAUUUAGUUACCAGCGUUUAUCAUUUGGAGACUUAACGGUACGCCAUGAUCACAACCAAAUGAAAACCCCAUGAUCACAACCAAAUGAAAUUCAUCAAUCACCUACAGAAGAUAUAAGCGGGGGAUGCGACGCCCCUGUGAUUAGAAUUUGGUU
Molecule: long non-coding RNA, 2003 nt
Organism: Portunus trituberculatus (swimming crab)
Lineage: Eukaryota; Metazoa; Arthropoda; Malacostraca; Decapoda; Portunidae
Exons: 3
Source: RefSeq, a predicted model, not a curated record